AUUGAACGCUGGCGGCAGGCCUAACACAUGCAAGUCGAACGAGUGGCGGACGGGUGAGUAAUGUCUGGGAAACUGCCUGAUGGAGGGGGAUAACUACUGGAAACGGUAGCUAAUACCGCAUACCAUCAGAUGUGCCCAGAUGGGAUUAGCCAGUUGGUGGGGUAACGGCUUACCAAGACGACGAUCCCUAGCUGGUCUGAGAGGAUGACCAGCCGCACUGGAACUGAGACACGGUCCAAACUCCGACGGGAGGCAGCAGUGGGGAAGAUUGCACAAUGGGCGCAAGCCUGAUGCAGCCAUGCCGCGUGUAUGAAGAGGGCCUUCGGGUUGUAAAGUACUUUCAGCGGGGAGGCGUUACCCACAGAAGGAGCACCGGCUAACUCCGUGCCAGCAGCCGCGGUAAUAC
This 406-nucleotide ribosomal RNA is filed under the name uncultured bacterium. RNAcentral's name for it is "partial 16S ribosomal RNA". It matches the Rfam family "Bacterial small subunit ribosomal RNA", at positions 30 to 526 of the family's 1533-position model. The record is from RNAcentral.